ACAUCUGAAUGAUUAAUGAAUAAUUAUGAUGAAAAUAAUAUAAAAUAUUAAUUUGAUUGUGUGAUUUGGAAGUGACCUGGCUGAGGGAUCGACGACAUAGAGUUCAGAAGAGGAUGCAAGACAAUGUUAUCUGGAGAGGAUGCAAGAUAUUUAGGCAAAAAUGUUUCAAGAUUUGGUUAGUCCUCGACACCUGCUUGUUCUAGCUAGCUUAGUAUAUAUUGUUGUUGCUGGUUGUGUUUUAAAAGUAUAGACAUCAUCAGAUGCUAGGAUGUUGAAAUAUUUAAAUGUUUUGCAGUCAUACAUGGAUUGUAAAAUCAUUACUAUAAUGUCCCAGUAUAUGCUAUUGGACAAUCAAACUGAGUUUCACCAACUGCCAUAACAGAAUUUUAUUAUAAGACGUGGUCUUUUCCCUCCUGACGAGAAAUUUUGUGCACACCUAGAUGUCACCUCCCUUGACAACUGAUCAAAGUGCAACAAUUUUAAUGGUGUGCGAGAGCGAUCAGGAGGGAUUUGUUGCAAUUUAGUUGUGGUAUUUCCAUGCUCACAUUUCAAUCCAAGAAAAUUUAAGAAAAUUAGCAUCUGAGGAUUCCAACCUUCACACUGUUAUUGGUGUGCAGAUCUGGUAAAUGCAUUAGAGUAAUAUCUAUAUGUAUCUCUUUAUAUAUGGCUCAUUCAUUUGAUACAGAUGAAGAUGGCUCUACAAUUGUUAGAACAAUUUGUUCUUACUAUUCCAAUUCUGCUCAAGAGGACAUUAUGCUAUAAGAUCAUGAAAAAAUUAUUCUCCAUGGCCUACGAAUCUACUUUGCUCUGUCUACUGUGGGUGGUUGUUUGAAAAAGCCUUUGCAAAUCAUAACAACUAUUGUAAAAUUUUGGGAUCUGUAGGUUGUAUCUUUUUUAACCCUUGUUUCCUUAAUUGACUUUUGGUUUGGCUAAGGUGUAGCUUCUUUUGUUCAACCCGUUGUAGCUGUUUUAUUUGUCUUCUAAAAUCUACCAAUAUUGUCAAGAUUAAAAUGACUAAUUCGAUUCAAGGCCAAGGCCAGCUCU
Molecule: long non-coding RNA, 1044 nt
Organism: Cryptomeria japonica (Japanese cedar)
Lineage: Eukaryota; Viridiplantae; Streptophyta; Pinopsida; Cupressales; Cupressaceae
Exons: 5
Source: RefSeq, a predicted model, not a curated record